Cricetulus griseus (Chinese hamster) is the source of this 161-nucleotide small nuclear RNA. Its record names the gene U1. It matches the Rfam family "U1 spliceosomal RNA". Rfam says of the family: U1 is a small nuclear RNA (snRNA) component of the spliceosome (involved in pre-mRNA splicing). Its 5' end forms complementary base pairs with the 5' splice junction, thus defining the 5' donor site of an intron. Lineage: Eukaryota; Metazoa; Chordata; Mammalia; Rodentia; Cricetidae. The record is from Ensembl.
AUACUUACCUGGUAGGGAAGAUACCAUGAUCCUGGAGGUGGUUUUCCCAGGGUGAGGUUAAUCCAUUGCACUCAGGGUGUGCUGACCGCUGCUAUUCCCCCAAAUUCAGAAAACUUGACUGUAUAAUUCAUGGUGGUGGGACUUCGUUCUCGCUCUCCCCC